GCAACUCUCUCUCUCUCUCUCUCUCUCUCUCUCUGUUAAAUAUAUUUGUGAGAGAGAGAGAAGGAGAGAGGGAGGAAAAAAGC
Xyrichtys novacula (pearly razorfish) is the source of this 83-nucleotide non-coding RNA. Lineage: Eukaryota; Metazoa; Chordata; Actinopteri; Labriformes; Labridae. The record is from the annotation of a GenBank genome assembly.